RNAcentral lists this ribosomal RNA (253 nucleotides) under uncultured bacterium. RNAcentral's name for it is "partial 16S ribosomal RNA". It matches the Rfam family "Bacterial small subunit ribosomal RNA", at positions 524 to 776 of the family's 1533-position model. The record is from RNAcentral.
UACAGAGGGUGCAAGCGUUAAUCGGAAUUACUGGGCGUAAAGCGCGCGUAGGUGGAUAGAUAAGUUGGAUGUGAAAUCCCCGGGCUUAACCUGGGAAGGUCAUCCGAUACUGUUUAUCUAGAGUACAGUAGAGGGAAGUGGAAUUUCCGGUGUAGCGGUGAAAUGCGUAGAUAUCGGAAGGAACACCAGUGGCGAAGGCGGCUUCCUGGACUGAUACUGACACUGAGGCGCGAGAGCGUGGGGAGCGAACAGG